This 351-nucleotide ribosomal RNA is filed under the name uncultured eukaryote. RNAcentral describes it as "bacterial SSU rRNA". It matches the Rfam family "Eukaryotic small subunit ribosomal RNA", at positions 592 to 975 of the family's 1831-position model. The record is from RNAcentral.
CAGAAGCAUAUAUUAAAGUUGUUGCAGUUGAAACGCUCGUAGUCAGAUUUUUAUGGUGCAUUUAAGUUCGCUUGGAUGCCCAACCAAUCGGUCGCCCCACUGAUCUAGUAUCGGUGGGAUCACGAACGAUUUUUCUACCUUGAUGAAUUUAGAGUGUUCAAAGCAGGCUAUGCCUGAAUACUUUCGCAUGGAAUGAGUUCAAAAUACUUUUUGUUUUUGUUUUCGGUUGUGACAAUUAGAGGUAUCAUUAGGAACAGUCGAGGGCAUUUGUACUUGAUUGCGAGAGGUGAAAUUCUUGGACCAAUCAAUGACAAACAAAAGCGAAAGCAUCUGUCAAGGAUGUUUUCUUUG